This is a long non-coding RNA of Leucoraja erinaceus (little skate), 1253 nucleotides long. RefSeq lists it as uncharacterized. The transcript has 3 exons. Lineage: Eukaryota; Metazoa; Chordata; Chondrichthyes; Rajiformes; Rajidae. The record is from RefSeq and is a predicted model, not a curated record.
AAGGGCGAUCUUCAGAUUCAGAUUCAGAUUCAAUUUUAAUUGUCAUUGUCAGUGUACAGUACAGAGACAACGAAAUGCAUUUUCUUAUAGAGUUGUAUAAAAUCUUGCGGGGAAAUAGAUAGGGUGUAUGCACAGGUAUUUCUUUCCUCAAAGUAGAAUAAUCUGAAGGGCGAAGGCUUAAGGUGAGAGGGGAACCCUUUAAUAGGGAACCUGGCGGUUAACAUCAUCACACAGAGUGGUGGGUUUCUGGAACAAGCUGUCCGGUGUGGCAAAUAAAUUGGGUACAAUAAUAACGUGUCAUAGAGUUGUAGAGUGAUACAGUGUGGAAAUAGGCCCUUCCGCCCAACUUGCCCACACAGGCCAACAUGUCCCAGCAGCACUCGUCCCACCUGCCCGCGUUUGGCACAUACCCCACCAAUUCUGUCCUAUCCAUGAACCUGUCUAACUGUUUAUUAAACGUUGGGAUAAUCCCAGCCUCAACUACCUCCUCUGGAAGCUUGUUCCAAACACCCAUUGUGUGAAAAGUUACCCAUUAGAUUCCUAUUAAAUCUUUUCCCCAAAAGACAUUUGGACAGUGUGGUUUAGAGAUAUUAAGGUCAAUGUGGAUUGAUGGGGGAUUUUGGUUAGGUUGAACCAAAGGGACUAUUUUUUGCUCUGUAUUUAAGACGACUGUUAACAUCCACUUGCCCCAGAAUGUCAGCUCAGAAUGCUGCCAGCUAUUCCCAACCUGUGGUUUUCUCAAUUAGAAAUUGCUCUGCAACCGGGAAUUUUUUUUUUCAGGUGGGAAAUUAACUCAAGUGGGCAAGGUCCUCAAAAGACUUUGGCCAGGCACCAAAUCAAAGAAAGAUGGCCAGAACACAGGAACAACGACAGAAAAGCAAAGUCGGAUUGAGAGCAGAACCUCGGUGGAAUGUGAAGCCGCCGAAGAGGAAAGGGAACAAUGUCAGUCCCGAGAGAGUGGAACAGGAGACGUGGUUCACGGCCCUGGAACUGACCCAAGUGGGGAAAUCCAUCAUGACCGAGUUUCAUCUAACAAGGAAUCAUCGAGUCUCAUCCAAGGAGCAGAACAGCAGAAUAUGGUAACACCUAUCCACACCACGGCUGAAGUUGGAAACAAGACUGUGGCUCCAGUGACCUCAACAACAAGGACGGACACAGAUCUAACGUCUGCAUUCUCUGAGCUCCUGACACAGUGGAGCGAGUACCAAUUGUUCCAGCUGACAAAAUUCUAUCGGGAGAGACUGAAACAGGCG